UUUAGGAGUUGUAAAAGUAUUGAAAUAUUCAAAUGUUAAAAUUUAGGGCUAUUUUAACAUACAAUGAAAAGGUGUGUAUUCUUUAUUCACACAGUGCUAUAAUAAAUAAAAUACAAGGGCUUCUGCUUCUCUUAUUCUUCAUUUCAGGUGGUAGAGUAUUUCAGGCAACUAAGCAAGCCCCAACAGCUUCUUUAUACUUUUCUGCAAAUGUCAUGUAAGUGAAAUGUAUUUCAGGGCUAUUUUAACACACAAUGAAAAGUUGUGUAUUCUUUAUUCAUACAGUGCUAUAAUAAAUAAAAUACAAGGGCUUCUGCUUCUCUUAUUCUUCAUUUCAGGUGGUAGAGUAUUCCAGGCAACUAAGCAAGCCCCAACAGCUUCUUUAUACUUUUCUGCAAAUGUC
Molecule: long non-coding RNA, 400 nt
Filed under: Zostera marina
Lineage: Eukaryota; Viridiplantae; Streptophyta; Magnoliopsida; Alismatales; Zosteraceae
Description: long non-coding RNA (ZMAR_LNC002495)
Source: RNAcentral